GCCAGGCAUGGUGGUGCACACCUAUGGUCUCAGCUACUUGGGAGGCUGAGGUGGGAGGAUUGCUUGAGCCCAGGAGGUUGGGGCUACAGUGAACUGAAAGUUUGCCACUGUACUCCAGCCUGGGCAACAGAGCAAGACCUCAUCUCAA
Molecule: small RNA, 148 nt
Filed under: Papio anubis (olive baboon)
Lineage: Eukaryota; Metazoa; Chordata; Mammalia; Primates; Cercopithecidae
Description: Metazoan signal recognition particle RNA (ENSPANG00000044206.1)
Source: Rfam by way of RNAcentral